GCCUGGCUGGCUUAGUCAGUUGGAGCACGAGACUCUUGAUCUUGGGGUUGUGAGUUCAAGCCCCACAUUGGGUA
RNAcentral lists this transfer RNA (74 nucleotides) under Ailuropoda melanoleuca (giant panda). It matches the Rfam family "tRNA". From Rfam's summary of the family: Transfer RNA (tRNA) molecules are approximately 80 nucleotides in length. Lineage: Eukaryota; Metazoa; Chordata; Mammalia; Carnivora; Ursidae. The record is from Rfam by way of RNAcentral.